Molecule: ribosomal RNA, 460 nt
Filed under: uncultured bacterium
Lineage: Bacteria
Description: partial 16S ribosomal RNA
Rfam family: Bacterial small subunit ribosomal RNA
Source: RNAcentral
CCUACGGGAGACAGCAGUGAGGAAUAUUGGUCAAUGGGCGUAAGCCUGAACCAGCCAAGUCGCGUGAGGGAUGAAGGUUCUAUGGAUCGUAAACCUCUUUUAUAAGGGAAUAAAGUGCGGGACGUGUCCCGUUUUGUAUGUACCUUAUGAAUAAGGAUCGGCUAACUCCGUGCCAGCAGCCGCGGUAAUACGGAGGAUCCGAGCGUUAUCCGGAUUUAUUGGGUUUAAAGGGUGCGUAGGCGGCCUUUUAAGUCAGCGGUGAAAGUCUGUGGCUCAACCAUAGAAUUGCCGUUGAAACUGGGAGGCUUGAGUACGGUUGAGGCAGGCGGAAUGCGUGGUGUAGCGGUGAAAUGCUUAGAUAUCACGAAGAACCCCGAUUGCGAAGGCAGCUUACCAAGCCACGACUGACGCUGAUGCACGAAAGCGUGGGUAUCAAACAGUAUUAGAUACCCGAGUAGUC